AGUUUGAUCCUGGCUCAGGACGAACGCUGGCGGCGUGCCUAAUACAUGCAAGUCGAGCGGACAGAUGGGAGCUUGCUCCCUGAUGUUAGCGGCGGACGGGUGAGUAACACGUGGGUAACCUGCCUGUAAGACUGGGAUAACUCCGGGAAACCGGGGCUAAUACCGGAUGCUUGUUUGAACCGCAUGGUUCAAACAUAAAAGGUGGCUUCGGCUACCACUUACAGAUGGACCCGCGGCGCAUUAGCUAGUUGGUGAGGUAACGGCUCACCAAGGCAACGAUGCGUAGCCGACCUGAGAGGGUGAUCGGCCACACUGGGACUGAGACACGGCCCAGACUCCUACGGGAGGCAGCAGUAGGGAAUCUUCCGCAAUGGACGAAAGUCUGACGGAGCAACGCCGCGUGAGUGAUGAAGGUUUUCGGAUCGUAAAGCUCUGUUGUUAGGGAAGAACAAGUACCGUUCGAAUAGGGCGGUACCUUGACGGUACCUAACCAGAAAGCCACGGCUAACUACGUGCCAGCAGCCGCGGUAAUACGUAGGUGCAAGCGUUGUCCGGAAUUAUUGGGCGUAAAGGGCUCGCAGGCGGUUCCUUAAGUCUGAUGUGAAAGCCCCCGGCUCAACCGGGGAGGGUCAUUGGAAACUGGGGAACUUGAGUGCAGAAGAGGAGAGUGGAAUCCACGUGUAGCGGUAAAUGCGUAGAGAUGUGGAGGAACACCAGUGCGAAGGCGA
RNAcentral lists this ribosomal RNA (728 nucleotides) under Bacillus mojavensis. Its description in RNAcentral is "bacterial SSU rRNA". It matches the Rfam family "Bacterial small subunit ribosomal RNA", at positions 10 to 724 of the family's 1533-position model. Lineage: Bacteria; Bacillati; Bacillota; Bacilli; Caryophanales; Bacillaceae. The record is from RNAcentral.